AAUAGAUACCCUGGUAGUCCUAGCCGUAAACGAUGACCACUAGGCGUGGGAGGUAUCGACCCCUUCUGUGCCGAAGCAUACGCAUUAAGUGGUCCGCCUGGGGAGUACGGCCGCAAGGCUAAAACUCAAAGGAAUUGACGGGGGCCCGCACAAGCGGCGGAGCAUGCGGAUUAAUUCGAUGCAACGCGAAGAACCUUACCAAGGCUUGACAUACACCGGAAUCACUCAGAGAUGGGUGCGUCUUCGGACUGGUGUACAGGUGGUGCAUGGUUGUCGUCAGCUCGUGUCGUGAGAUGUUGGGUUAAGUCCCGCAACGAGCGCAACCCUCGUUCUAUGUUGCCAGCACGUCAUGGUGGGGACUCAUAGGAGACUGCCGGGGUCAACUCGGAGGAAGGUGGGGAUGACGUCAAAUCAUCAUGCCCCUUAUGUCUUGGGCUUCACGCAUGCUACAAUGGCCGGUACAAAGGGUUGCGAUACUGUGAGGUGGAGCUAAUCUCAAAAGCCGGUCCCAGUUCGGAUUGGGGUC
This 526-nucleotide ribosomal RNA is filed under the name uncultured bacterium. Its description in RNAcentral is "bacterial SSU rRNA". It matches the Rfam family "Bacterial small subunit ribosomal RNA", at positions 777 to 1305 of the family's 1533-position model. The record is from RNAcentral.